ACCAAUUUCUUAGGUCAAAUUUUGUUUACUACAUCACUUUCCACUUUGGCAUUACUUCAUAGGUGACUUUGGUAAGUAAAAUUAUGAUUUUUAUUCGUAUUUGUCAUCUAGGUACACUUUUGUUUUUCCAACAAUUGAUAUAACCGACCUGUUGCAACGGAUGAGUAAACCGUUGAAAAGAAUAAAAACAGUCCUAAUCUAUUGCAAAAUGAAGAGUAAACCGUUGGAAAGAAUAAAAACAGAUCACUAAUCAGUUAUCUGUUGGGUCAAUAUUUUUUAGAUUUCUUCCAAACAGAAGAGUCGUCUAUCGCAACAGAUGAAUGAUCUGUUAGAUUGUUCACCUGUUGCAUCAGAUUUUCAUCUGUUGCAUCAUAUGUUUCAUCUGUUACAUCAUAUGUUUCAUCUGUUGCAAUACCAUUUUUACCAAGACAAACAACAAAUCAACCCAGCAACACCAACACAUCACACACACACACUAAGAACAUCAACUGUGAUAAAAAAUCACCAAUAAAUUCGAAUCAACAGUACGACAACAAGAAGAAGAAAUGCCAGAAAUUAGGAUUUUAUUCAGUCCACAUUUUAAUGCUAGAAGAGUAAUUGGCUCAAGUUCCUCUAUUUCUUCAUAAUUUUUUACCUAUGAAAAAGGAAAUGGGACGACGAAGAAUUCGAAGUUGUUGUCGCCAGAGAAGUCUUCACGUUGAUUGACGAUUAAAAGUCGAAAAGAAACUCACCCGACUAUUUGUCGCCGGAGGUUGAAGGGAGAAAUUUUACAGAACUAUUGGUUGGAGAAAGUUGAGAGAAGCUGGAGAGAGAGAAUGAUUGAUUUGGAUUGAAGAGGGGUGUGGGUUGGGUUGAUUUGUAUUUUUGAAAAAAUUAGAAAGUUUUGAAAAUAUUAAUAAAGUCCACAAUUAACUUAAUCAAGUUUCCUAAUGAUGUUUGAUCCUUUAAGUUGGUCAAUGUCACCAAUCCUUCAUUCAAGACUUAAAAGACACCUUUUCUUCAAUUUUCUCGAGUUACCUGGUAUCCCGUAGGUUUAGUCGAGUCCUGGAGACCACAGUUAAAACAACAACAUUUUCAGUGUAUUCCCACUUAGUGGGGUCUGAGGAGGGUAAUGUGUACGAAGACCAUACCACUACCUCAGGUGAAGUAGAGACUAUUUUCGAUAGAUCUCUGGCUCAGGACAGAUAACAGUAUAACAAACACAAAACAUAAAAGCAUAUAAACUAAUAUAGUAUGCAAAAUAAACUAACACUGCUAGCUAAUACAGAAAAUAAUACAACCACAAGAUAAUACUAUAAACUAUCUAUUCAAAAUCAUAGAUAUCACUUAAACACCACGAACAGAAAACUCUAGACGCAAAGAGAGCACUCUUCCCUACUGUUACAGAUGUACUCUUACACCAUAACCCUCUACUUUAAUCCGCGUCCUCCAUACCUUCUUAUCAAGGGUCAUGUCCUCUGUAAGCUAUAACUGCUCCAUAUCAUGCCUAAUCACCGUCCUCCAAUAUUUCUAUGGCCUACCGCUACCCAUCUAAAACCGUCCAUAGCCAGCCUCUCACAACUCGGUACUAGAGCAUCCGAGACCCUCCUCAUCAUACCUCUGUACUAAAGCAGUUUGUUUAUUUUUUUUCAUCAUCUUCAUUAAAAAUCUAAGGUUUCUUUGUUACAUGUGCUUAAUUCUCAAAAUAAGGACGACCUCGACUUUCAAAGGUUUUGUAAUUUACUUUUUAAUCUGUAUUUUUUUCUCGAUUGUACUCUCUCUUAUAUAUUGUUAUACAUAGCUAUGUUAUGUGUAAGGGUAAAGACACACUUUUUUGGGGAGAUUUGCUGUAAUUUCUAUUCCAUAUACAUUGAUACGCAAUGUAUAUGGUUGACCCAUUUUGCUAUUUAUACAUGCAAGGUUAUGUGUAAGGUUAUGUAUAAGGUUUGUCAGCGGUAUGUAUAUGACUUGAAGAAUUCUCAUUUUAUAUGCAUAAGGGUUAUGUAUAAGG
RNAcentral lists this long non-coding RNA (1990 nucleotides) under Capsicum annuum. RNAcentral's name for it is "long non-coding RNA (CANN_LNC020019)". Lineage: Eukaryota; Viridiplantae; Streptophyta; Magnoliopsida; Solanales; Solanaceae. The record is from RNAcentral.